This 1358-nucleotide long non-coding RNA is filed under the name Dromaius novaehollandiae (emu). Its description in RNAcentral is "lncRNA (ENSDNVG00000005893.1)". The record is from RNAcentral. Lineage: Eukaryota; Metazoa; Chordata; Aves; Casuariiformes; Dromaiidae.
AGUUCAGUGCUGGGAACCCUUUUGGGGGAGAGGGGGGAAAGAAAAAAUCCAAGCUCCAGAAGAAUAGGAGAUACUGAAGAGAGGUUGAUGAUUUCUAGGACAUUUGAGGUGCAGAAGACUGCAAUGGAGCACUCCUAGCAGAGCUGCAACCCAACUGUCAGAGCUGCACUUGGCCCGAUAGAAGCAUAAGUCACCUCUCACUCAUGCAAGAGUCUCGAGUCAGCUAGCAAGGGGGCUGUGCAGCUUGCCAGCRACAGCAGCCACUCUGCAAUAGGGCAGCUCCGUCAGAAUUAGGAAUUUAUCCUCGGUACAGAGGAGUGUCUCAUCCUCCCAGUCACACUCUGAGGAUUGAUUUAGUCCAAGCAUUAAACUACAAGCACAACCUUUACARUCUAGAUGAGACGGAAGACGCUAGUGACUGGAUCCACAGCCCACUGACGGGAACGAAGCCACUUCUCCCCAGUGCUCGACACCACACCGCAUCCGUGCCAGGUACAAGCACUAAACACAUGCACACGGGAGACGUUUCAGCUUUUAUUUGAAAAUUUAUCUGUACAUUCUUACGUGGUUGCUGAGUGACAGCUGCCAGGAGCUGCCAGCAGCAGGGGGGGGCAGCAGCGAGGCGCUCACAGCUUUCCACAGCGCCCAGAAACGGGAGACAGCAGAGGAAACAAGACCCCACCAGCUCUCGCCUUCAGCCUUUUCCGAGUAGGGGAAUCAGCAAUCGAGUCAUCUUUAUCACAUUCYGAAGGGUGUUGGAUUUACACGGUCUUACGUAUUCAGCAUAAAGAUCUUGGGUUGAAGUGACUAUCUGCAGAGCAGCUUGAAAACUAUCCCAGGCUUUCUUUUCUAAAGCCAGUACCUUAAAGCUGCAGUACUCUCCAUGCAUCAUUCCCAGCAGUCCCAAAGCCAAAUAACAAAAGGAGCCCUUGCAAAUAAAUAAUCAUAGGAAAAAAAUAAAUAAGAUUAGACCUGGAAUAUACAGUUACAUGGUCUUUAUUUGGUUUCAGAGGUGGAAAAAAGUGGAGCUAGACUGCAGCUUUAAGCCUUGUGCUAAAAAGAGUCCCAACAAAUAUCUAACCCCACCCGUGUUUGCAAGGGGGAAAACUGGUUCAAACCAUACACCAGGGAGACAAUCCUCUCUCAGGGAAUCCUUUAACUUCGCUGGCAACACAGAAGCUUGCCCAAAGCCUGGUCGUGGAAAGUCUUAAGUCCAGUUUUUCCCUACUUAAGCCAGAAGUCCUGUAAUGUCAUUUAAAGGCAGCUCUGCAGGAAGAGCUCUUGAUCUGCACUGUUUGGGGUACACACCCCCUCCCCAGGAAAUCCCCAAUAAAAAAAMCACACAGAAGAGAAAAGCA